GGACAAGUAUCGAAACAAGUCCAUUAUCUGAGGCUAAGAGAAGAUCGUUGGUAACUUUCAACAGUGCUGUUUCUGUACUAUGAUGUGCUCUAAAUCCUGAUUGGAAAUCUUCAAAUAGUUCAUUCCUGUGUAAGUGGUCUGAUAGCUGCUUAGCAACAGCCUUUUCUAUGAUUUUAGAAAUAAAUGGCAGGUUGGAUAUUGGUCUAUAAUUAGCCAAGACUCCUGGAUCAAGACUAGGCUUUUUGAGUAAAGGUUUGAUUACUGCAGUCUUAAAGGCCUGUGGUACGUAGCCUGAUACUAGAGAUAAAUUUACCAAGUCCAAUAAAGAUGAGUUCAUUAAUGGCAGGGUGCCUUUAAGCAGUCUAGUCGGGAUGGGGUCCAAGAGACACGUUGAUGAUUUCGAUGAAGCAACUACUGAUGUAAAUUCAGAGAGAUCUAUAGGAGAGAAGCAGUCUAAACAUAACUGAGGUCCUACAGAUGAUUCAAGAGCUACUGUAGUAAAAGAUUCAUUUAUUGCAGGUAUAGGAAGCAUCUGCUGAAUUUUAUCUCUAAUAGUUGUGAUUUUAUUUGUAAAGAAACUCAUAAAUUCAUCACUGCUGAGAGCUAUGGUUUUCAACAACUGUGAUUCGCAACUGUGUCUAUUUACAAUAACUGAUGGUCUGUUUCAUAGGAGCCAUGGCGUCUAAAUGCUCCUCUUGUUGCUGAAGUGAAACUUACUGAGACACCCAGAAUUGCACUUACUGAGAGCCAUGGCCUGACCAUUGACCUGAGAGUCCGUGUCCAAGUAUUAUCAGCACCACAGAACAGGGAACCACAUGUCAUUACCUCAGUGUCUGCGACCUGUAACAGUAAUGUGAAGGUUGAUAUUCAGGGAAAUCGUCUGACUCUUCCUUAUAAUGACAUCAGCUGUGCAGUUGUCACCAGAAAUGUCAUAAGAGACAUUAUGGUAAGAAACGUGUCCUGUUAUAAUAAUAAUAAUAAGACAAUAAUAAUAAUAAUAAUAAUAAUAAUAAUAAUAAUAAUAAUAAUGAUGAUGUUGAACAGGUGAAACCUCUGAACAGCCUCCUGACAGACAGGAUCUCUGACUUCCUGGCCAGUAAGCAGCAAUGACUGUAUUCCAGUGCACGUUGAUUAUUGCUAACUUUUCACUGUUAGAUUAGUGCAGUGAAAGUGAUUAUGAUCUUCUGUCUGUCUGCAGGUUGGUUUUCUGAGGGAGUAGUGCUUCCUCUGCCCGAAGGAGUGAUCUUCACUCAGGGGCUGAUUAAGUACCAUGAUGUGAGUCUGUUCACACUUAAACUAGAUUAGAAAACGUGGAUGCAGAAUAGCUGAGAAGAGAAAAUGGAAGCAGUAUGUUGACCUGUUUGAUUAACUGUUCUCUGGCACUUCACACCCAUGUGAUGUGUGCAGGGCUUCGUCCUAGUCGGAGGAGACCUAACCUUCACUCCAGCUGGGAGGAGAAACAUCAGAGAUUUUGGCAGAUAAACAACAGCUAUGAAUCUGACGAGCAUCUCUCUGCUUCUAAAAGUAUUUGAUUGUUCACAUUGUACCAGUUGAAGUUCAGUAUCUAUUAUCUAUGGCUUAUUCCUGUUAUCCAGGGUCGGGGGGCUGCAACCAAUCCUAGCAUGCAGUGGGUGAGAGGCAGGUCCCCCCUGAACAGAUCAUGAACAGAACAUCAGAACAGAUCAGAACAUAGGGUGGGAAGGGACAGAGUGAUACCACUGAUCCACAAUGCUCCCCAGUAAAAAUUCUGUCACAAGUUCCAGUACUGGAUUGAACUGUCACCCUUUACAACCUUGCAGCCUGUUUUUCUGAUUCUUUCCACUGCAAUAAAAGGCUUCGGCAUCACUGAGUCUCAUCUGAAAUGUAGGUGACACAUGACGAUAAAGAACAAAUAAGAACACAGUUUGAAAAACAGAAUCCCAUUAUCAGUAAGAAAACUAAUUUGUCCAUACAGUAGAUUAAAGUUAAUGUGAAACUGUGACACAAUUUAAAGCUGCUAUUCCCAUCAUGCAC
This is a long non-coding RNA of Mastacembelus armatus (zig-zag eel), 2013 nucleotides long. Lineage: Eukaryota; Metazoa; Chordata; Actinopteri; Synbranchiformes; Mastacembelidae. The record is from Ensembl.